GGGCAUGAAGGUUUGACAGACUGUAUUCGAUGUUUGUCUGAAGCAAUAUCUAUAAUUAAUGAUGAAAAAUCUACCAACCGAAGUCCAACUUGUCUUCAGUUAGCUGUGGCAUAUUGCUUACGUGCAUUAUGUACCCAGGAAGCUGAACCAAACUCAAAGGUUUUUAUCAUACAAGCAAGUCCUUCAAGAUGUCAAAGCAGCAAUAAAUGUAUGGUUGAGCGUUCCAUUUCCAGAGGAUGGCGG
This 243-nucleotide unclassified non-coding RNA is filed under the name Hevea brasiliensis (rubber tree). Lineage: Eukaryota; Viridiplantae; Streptophyta; Magnoliopsida; Malpighiales; Euphorbiaceae. The record is from RNAcentral.